UUUUAUAUGUUUAAGUUUUUUAAAAGCAAUCGUGUAGGCAUUUGUUAUUGGUUUGUUAUGGGCUCAGACAGCUUUUAAAUAAAAAUCAAGAAAAAUAUCGGAAAAAAAGGAUACAAGAAUACAAUGGAUUUUUCGAAGAAUUUGAAGCUGUUGCAUAAAGAAACGGAUUGGCCGGAUUGUGGAAGAGAAAAAUUCGAACCAUUCUGGAUUACCACAAAGGAGCCUUAGAUGUAAUAGAAAGAAGUUUAUUGAAGCCAUAUUAGCAGAAAAUGCCACAGCAGAAGAGAAAAGAAUAUUUAAGUCGUCAAUGGAUCUUUAUAGACAGACCAAUAGUUACGCAAAAUCGUUAUUGGUGAGUGCAGUUAGUGAUGACAUUUACCAGAAGAUAAUGGAUCAAGAUUCAGCCGCAAAUACUUGGGAUGCUUUAAAGUUACAGUUUGAAGCGCAAUCCAAAGAUCAGGUUUUUAAAAUAUGUAUUAAUUUCUUUCAAAUUGAAUGGAAUCCUACUCAUGAUGUUUCCAUGCACAUUGCAAAAUUAAAGACGCUUUGGCUGAAGCUAAAUAAUGGUCUAAGGGCAAAACUCUGUUUACACUACUCUUUAAAUCCGGAUUUAAUGGCUCGAUCAUCUGUUUUCCCUUUAUAAAAUUACCUGAAUGGGGUUCAAGAGAAGAAAAUGUUCUACCUGAUUUACUCCUUGUGUGCAAAAUUUUACCAAACCAAUUUAAAACAUUUUAA
This is a long non-coding RNA of Stomoxys calcitrans (stable fly), 735 nucleotides long. RefSeq lists it as uncharacterized. NCBI's taxonomy places the organism in Eukaryota, Metazoa, Arthropoda, Insecta, Diptera, Muscidae. The record is from RefSeq and is a predicted model, not a curated record. The transcript has 2 exons.